AGGCACCACAGAGGCUGAGGCUGGGGGAUUGCUUGAGCCCAGGAGUUCAAGGGCAGCCUGGGCAAUACGGAAAGACCAGUUUUUAGCAACCCCAACGGUACUGGGUGUGCUGGCUCAUGCCAGUCAUCCCAGCACGAGGGGCGUCGGACAAGAAGACCAGGGAGUUAAAGCCAUCCUUGGCUACGGAUCACACGGGAGGCCAGCCAGAGUGAUGAGACCCUGUUUUUGUUUUUGUUUUUGUUUUGUUUUGUUUAAAUUAUGAGAACGGGGAAUGUCUUAAUUAGGAUUUUAUUGCUGUGAAGAGACACCAAGACCAUGGCAACUCUUAUAAAGAACAACAUUUAACUGGGGCUGGCUUACAGUUGAGAGGAUUAGUCCAUUAUCAUCAUAGCAAGAAGCAUGGUGGGCCUGCAGACAGACAUCGUGCUGGAGAAGGAGCUGAGAGUUCUCCAUAUGGAUCCAAAGGCAGCAGGAAGAGAGGCAUUGGACCUGGCUUGAGCUGCUGAGACCUCAAAGGAAGGCCAUACCUACUCCAACAAGGCUACACCUCUAAUACUGCCCCUCCCUAUGGGUCUAAGGGGGCCAUUCCGUUCGAGUUACCAUGGAGCUGUGGUUAAGUGGUACAGAGCUUUAACGUGCUGAAGAAAACAGUUUCACAAAUAACCUCGACAGUUGCACAACCUUUGAUCCUGGUUAGCGCUGCUGAAAUACACACUUAUGUUAAA
RNAcentral lists this long non-coding RNA (725 nucleotides) under Rattus norvegicus (Norway rat). RNAcentral's name for it is "long non-coding RNA NONRATT005707". Lineage: Eukaryota; Metazoa; Chordata; Mammalia; Rodentia; Muridae. The record is from RNAcentral.